RNAcentral lists this ribosomal RNA (515 nucleotides) under uncultured bacterium. RNAcentral's name for it is "partial 16S ribosomal RNA". It matches the Rfam family "Bacterial small subunit ribosomal RNA", at positions 28 to 523 of the family's 1533-position model. The record is from RNAcentral.
GAUGAACGCUGGCGGCGUGCCUAAUACAUGCAAGUCGAGCGAAUGGAUUAAGAGCUUGCUCUUAUGAAGUUAGCGGCGGACGGGUGAGUAACACGUGGGUAACCUGCCCAUAAGACUGGGAUAACUCCGGGAAACCGGGGCCAAUACCGGAUGACAUUUUGAACCGCAUGGUUCGAAAUUGAAAGGCGGCUUCGGCUGUCACUUAUGGAUGGACCCGCGUCGCAUUAGCUAGUUGGUGAGGUAACGGCUCACCAAGGCAACGAUGCGUAGCCGACCUGAGAGGGGGAUCGGCCACACUGGGACAGAGACACGGCCGAGAGUCCUACGGGCGGCAGCGGUAGGGAAUCUUCCGCAAUGGACGAAAGUCUAACGGAGCAACGCAGCGUGAGUGAUGAAGGCGUUCGGGUCGUAAGACUCUGUUGUUAGGGAAGAACAAGUGCUAGUUGAAUAAGCUGGCACCUUGACGGUACCUAACCAGAAAGCCACGGCUAACUACGUGCCAGCCGCCGCAGUAA